Molecule: ribosomal RNA, 460 nt
Filed under: uncultured bacterium
Lineage: Bacteria
Description: partial 16S ribosomal RNA
Rfam family: Bacterial small subunit ribosomal RNA
Source: RNAcentral
CCUACGGGUGGCAGCAGUGAGGAAUAUUGGUCAAUGGGCGCGAGCCUGAACCAGCCAAGUAGCGUGAAGGAUGACUGCCCUACGGGUUGUAAACUUCUUUUAUACAGGAAUAACGUGCGUCACGUGUGCCUCUUUGCAUGUACUUUAUGAAUAAGGAACGGCUAACUCCGUGCCAGCAGCCGCGGUAAUACGGAGGGUCCGGGCGUUAUCCGGAUUUAUUGGGUUUAAAGGGAGCGUAGAGGGGUUGUUAAGUUAGGUGUGAAAGUUUGGGGCUCAACCCGAAACUUGCAAGGGAUACUGGCGGUCUUGAGUACAGGGGAGGGAGGCGGAAUUCGUGGUGUAGCGGUGAAAUGCUUAGAUAUCACGAAGAACCCCGAGUGCGAAGGCAGCUUGCUGAACUGCCACUGACGUUGAUGCUCGAAAGCGUGGGUAUCGAACAGGAUUAGAUACCCGAGUAGUC